Molecule: non-coding RNA, 1907 nt
Organism: Sturnus vulgaris (Common starling)
Lineage: Eukaryota; Metazoa; Chordata; Aves; Passeriformes; Sturnidae
Source: RefSeq, a predicted model, not a curated record
GCUCGUCUGCCAGAGCUGCAGCAGGCUCUGCAGCUGCUGUAACACGGUUACCUGCUCUUUGUGCUCCGCUGUUGAUUGUGAUAUGCCUGUCUGGAAGAGACCACUCUUUGCUAUUACCUGGUGUUCCUGAUGUGAUACAGGAUUCAGAAUAUUCUCUCUGCAUGUUGGUCAUGUUAGGACACACUUUUGUGGGAUCAGAAUAGAAAUCAGUUGCUCCUUCUGUGCUUUCAGGUGAGUGUGAAUCCAUUCUGGACACACAACAUUUUCUUUGUAAGAUAACUGGGAAAUUCAGCCAGGCCUGAAGGCUUUUCCAAAUAAGAGAAUUUGCUGAUUCUGGUUACGGUUUUUUUAAGCUAUCACAAACAUCUUGUGCUUACUGACAUCUUGAAUGGUUGUAAUCUUUCUAUGAUAACUUUGAUAGAAAGAGUAAUAGCACACCAGGCUUGAAGAAGAAAAAUUUUACUUAUUAGUAAGUUUUCCAAUACCUUCACUAAAAGGUCUUUCUUGGAAAGCACCUUAUCUGUAUGAGUUGAUCAUUGAUACUGUAAACUUCAUAUUGUCCUGAACACCCACUCAGAAGUAGCUCAUGAAGUGGUCUGAAAAAUGGUCAGCACUCAGGGGUACUUCUCCAUAAACAGCUCAUUCCUCAUAUUCUUUUCAAAUCACUGCAGAGGCUUAAUAUUGUUUGUGCUGUAAGACUGAAGUAAAGUACUACUGGACAGCCCCUCAAAGCAGUUUUCUUUUACUAUUUUUGUUAUGUUUCAUUAAAAAAAGAUUUUUCAUCUGACAAACCACCUCUGCCUAAGAGAAAACUACAGUGGUCUUUACCUCAGGAAAAUGCUGAUUUGAGUGGCUGAUUUCAGACUGUAAGAUAAAAGGAAUAGAUUUUGACACACACAAGAAAAGAAAUCCUUGUGGCACAGCUGUUGGUCUGUUUCUCAAAUUCUUUGUCCUGAAUUCCUGAAGCAAAGCCUGCCAUUCAUGCUUCCCAGUCUUCUCAGCUGCAAUUAGUGUAUUUUGGGUGGAGUAACCUUGUUUUACCUGUUUCCCUCCACUUCAGCCAUUUCUGUUUGAAGAGAUGGAAAGGCCAUUGCAGUGCAAUUUGAGAGCCUGACUUCUCCCUCGUGGGCAUCCCUUUAUCUGACAUUCUGUUGGAAGGAUUCUGGGUAUUUGUCUGUCAGAAUACUGCAGCUACCCAAAGAGAAGGGUAAAUGCUUUAGCAAAGGAUGGGGGUGGCUGUUGCUAGAGAGCAACUCUUAAUAACUGCACUGGCGUGGCUUGGGGUGUAUCAGCCACAUGAAGUGCAGGAUGACAUCCUCUCUAGCCUGUGUAGCACUUUAUGUAACUAUGCAGACACACUUUAAAAGCAUUUAUACCUUUUAGGGUUUCCUGGGGGGUGUCACUUCACUCUCAACCUUCUGUGCCAGCUUAGACUGACCAUCUGUGCCAGCCUAGACAUGCUGAUGGGUCUGGUUAGUUUUCCUGUUCUGCAUGUUUUAGAGCCAGUUAAAAUGGGAGACUUUACUAGUUCUUACUCCAAUAAGUUACUCCACUUCCUUUUGAGCAACUGUGAAAUGUAUCUUCAUUCCUGUUACAAACAAAUAAAGUCUCAAGUCAGGUGAAUUAGUAGUGAAAUAAUUAGUUGGAAUGUGCAGGAAUUCUACAGCAUUAUCUGUCUUUUCAAAGCACUAAUAAAUGAAGUCAGGAUGGUGGCAGAUCUCUGGUGCAGUUCCCAGCUGUUAUCAGGGCAGAUAAAAAAGUUGCUCCUGUGGCAGUCGUUUUAAACCACAAAGGUGAGUUUUAUGGAUGGGAAGAAUCUGUGAUUUACUAUGUUUAGAUGUUAGUUUUAGGAAAGAGUUUUAAAACUUGGCUUUGUUUCAUUUGAAGCUCUAAGGAGUGAAUUAAAG